RNAcentral lists this ribosomal RNA (492 nucleotides) under uncultured bacterium. Its description in RNAcentral is "partial 16S ribosomal RNA". It matches the Rfam family "Bacterial small subunit ribosomal RNA", at positions 29 to 507 of the family's 1533-position model. The record is from RNAcentral.
AGUGAACGCUGGCGGUAGGCCUAACACAUGCAAGUCGAACGGCAGCACAGUAAGAGCUUGCUCUUACGGGUGGCGAGUGGCGGACGGGUGAGGAAUACAUCGGAAUCUACUUUUUCGUGGGGGAUAACGUAGGGAAACUUACGCUAAUACCGCAUACGACCUACGGGUGAAAGCAGGGGAUCUUCGGACCUUGCGCGAUUGAAUGAGCCGAUGUCGGAUUAGCUAGUUGGCGGGGUAAAGGCCCACCAAGGCGACGAUCCGUAGCUGGUCUGAGAGGAUGAUCGGCCACACUGGAACUGAGACACGGUCCAGACUCCUACGGGAGGCAGCAGUGGGGAAUAUUGGACAAUAGGCGCAAGCCUGAUCCAGCCAUACCGCGUGGGUGAAGAAGGCCUUCGGGGUGUAAAGCCCUUUUGUUGGGAAAGAAAAGCAGCAGGUUAAUACCCCGCUGUUCUGACGGUACCCAAAGAAUAAGCACCGGCUAACUUCGUG